Molecule: ribosomal RNA, 492 nt
Filed under: uncultured bacterium
Lineage: Bacteria
Description: partial 16S ribosomal RNA
Rfam family: Bacterial small subunit ribosomal RNA
Source: RNAcentral
AUUGAACGCUGGCGGCAUGCUUUACACAUGCAAGUCGAACGGUAACAGGCCUUCGGGUGCUGACGAGUGGCGCACGGGUGAGUAAUGCAUCGGAACGUGCCCAGAGGUGGGGGAUAACGCAGCGAAAGCUGUGCUAAUACCGCAUGUGAUCUGAGGAUGAAAGCGGGGGACCAGGCAGCAAUGUUUGGCCUCGCGCCUUUGGAGCGGCCGAUGUCAGAUUAGGUAGUUGGUGGGGUAAAGGCCUACCAAGCCGACGAUCUGUAGCUGGUCUGAGAGGACGGUCAGCCACACUGGGACUGAGACAGGGCCCAGACUCCUACGGGAGGCAGCAGUGGGGAAUUUUGGACAAUGGGCGGAAGCCUGAUCCAGCAAUGCCGCGUGCGGGAAGAAGGCCUUCGGGUUGUAAACCGCUUUUGUACGGAACGAAAAGGCUCUGGCUAAUACCUGGGGCUGAUGACGGUACCGGAAGAAUAAGCACCGGCUAACUACGUG